This 77-nucleotide transfer RNA is filed under the name Paracoccaceae bacterium. RNAcentral describes it as "tRNA-Met(cat)". It matches the Rfam family "tRNA". From Rfam's summary of the family: Transfer RNA (tRNA) molecules are approximately 80 nucleotides in length. Their secondary structure includes four short double-helical elements and three loops (D, anti-codon, and T loops). The record is from RNAcentral. Lineage: Bacteria; Pseudomonadati; Pseudomonadota; Alphaproteobacteria; Rhodobacterales; Paracoccaceae. RNAcentral also lists the same sequence under 1 other name.
GGCGUGGUAGCUCAGCUGGUUAGAGCGCACGACUCAUAAUCGUGAGGUCGGGAGUUCAAGUCUCCCCCACGCCACCA